Molecule: long non-coding RNA, 379 nt
Organism: Drosophila gunungcola (fruit fly)
Lineage: Eukaryota; Metazoa; Arthropoda; Insecta; Diptera; Drosophilidae
Exons: 2
Source: RefSeq, a predicted model, not a curated record
CUUAAGUCGGGAUAAACAUUUUUAAGAUGGGCACUACUCGGAUGGUGGUACGACUUGUCGCCGAUACACAGGACUAUUAUUAAAUAAAGAGCGGACAAAUGUUAUUUUAAUGGAAUGCCAAAGUCCAAACCAGAAAACUAUCAUUCCUGCACAUUGAAUUUUAAUCUAGUGCUGCAAUAGAAAUCUUCCGAACACUCCCAGUAAUCCUUCAAAGAUAAAUUCAAAAGACGGCUCCUUUAAUCAUGAAUAGGAAACCUAAGAAACAAAUCCAAAUAAAAAAAUUUCCUUUAAGGUAUUGGAUGUCAAACAAUUUCAGUUCGAAUUAUAUUUAUUAUGCAAUUAUUUAAAAAUAAACAGCCGAUAUAUAUUUGCUCCUUUA